CUACCAUGCAGUCGAGCGGCAGCACAGAGGAGCUUGCUCCUUGGGUGGCGAGUGGCGGACGGGUGAGGAAUACAUCGGAAUCUACUUUUUCGGGGGGGAUAACGUAGGGAAACUUACGCUAAUACCGCACACGACCUACAGGUGAAAGCAGGGGACCUUCGGGCCUUGCGCGAUUGAAUGAGCCGAUAUCGGAUUAGCUAUUUGGCGGGGUAAAGGCCCACCAAGGCGACGAUCCGUAUCUGGUCUGAAAGGAUGAUCAUCCUCACUGGAACUGAGACACGGUCCAGACUCCUACGGGAGGCAGCAGUGGGGAAUAUUGGACAAUGGGCGCGAACCAGAUCCAGCCAUACCGCGUGGGUGAGAAAGGCCUUCGGGUUGUAAAGCCCUUUUGUUGGUAAAGAGGUCCAGCUGGCUAAUACCCGGUUGGGAUGACGGUACCCAGAGAAUAAGCACCGGCUAACUUCGUGCCAGCAGCCGCGGUAAUACGAAGGGUGCAAGCGUUACUCGGAAUUACUGGGCGUAGAGCGUGCGUAGGUGGUCGUUUAAGUCCGUUGUGAGAGCCCUGGGCUCAACCUGGGAACUGCAAUGGAUACUGGGCGACUAGAGUGUGGUAUAGGGUAGCGGAAUUCCUGGUGUACCAUUGAAAUGCGUAAAGAUCAGGAGGACAUCCAUGGCGAAGGCAGCUACCUGGACCACACUGACACUGAGGCACAAAACGUGGGAGCAACAGGAUAAAUACCCUGGUAGUCACGCCCUAACGAUGCGAAUGGAUGUUGGUGCAAUUGGCACCCUAUCAAGCUACGCGUUAGUUCGCCCCUGGGAGUACGUCGCAGACUGAACUCAAGGAUUGACGGGGCCGCACAACCGUGAGUUGUGUUUAAUCGAUGCACGCGAGACUUACUGGCGUACUUUGGAGACUUUCAGAAAGGAUGGUGCUUCCGAGUCGAA
Molecule: ribosomal RNA, 948 nt
Filed under: uncultured bacterium
Lineage: Bacteria
Description: bacterial SSU rRNA
Rfam family: Bacterial small subunit ribosomal RNA
Source: RNAcentral